This 495-nucleotide ribosomal RNA is filed under the name uncultured bacterium. RNAcentral's name for it is "partial 16S ribosomal RNA". It matches the Rfam family "Bacterial small subunit ribosomal RNA", at positions 28 to 523 of the family's 1533-position model. The record is from RNAcentral.
GAUGAACGCUAGCGGGAGGCCUAACACAUGCAAGCCGAGCGGUAGAGUCCCUUCGGGGGCUUGAGAGCGGCGUACGGGUGCGGAACACGUGUGCAACCUACCUUUAUCUGGGGGAUAGCCUUUCGAAAGGAAGAUUAAUACCCCAUAAUAUAUAGAUUGGCAUCAAUCGAUAUUGAAAACUCCGGUGGAUAGAGAUGGGCACGCGCAAGAUUAGCUAGUUGGUGAGGUAACGGCUCACCAAGGCAAUGAUCUUUAGGGGGCCUGAGAGGGUGAUCCCCCACACUGGUACUGAGACACGGACCAGACUCCUACGGGAGGCAGCAGUGAGGAAUAUUGGACAAUGGGUGCAAGCCUGAUCCAGCCAUCCCGCGUGAAGGACGACGGCCCUAUGGGUUGUAAACUUCUUUUGUACAGGGAUAAACCUACCCUCGUGAGGGUAGCUGAAGGUACUGUACGAAUAAGCACCGGCUAACUCCGUGCCAGCCGCCGCAGUAA